UCGAUCAUUGUAGAAAAUCAGCUGAUAGUGAAGCUCAGAAAGUAUUUGAAGCAGCCCGGUGGAUAAAUGGAGGAGCUCAUUAUCGAAGAAGUCUGGAUGAUAUUAUGGAAGCUCGGACGGUCGGAGGAGUUCAGAAAGAUGCCACACAAGGUCGGAAGCCGGAAGAGCCCUGGAAGGGUCGGCCUUUUACGAACUUCGGCUG
This 202-nucleotide long non-coding RNA is filed under the name Elaeis guineensis (African oil palm). RNAcentral's name for it is "long non-coding RNA (EGUI_LNC053551)". The record is from RNAcentral. Lineage: Eukaryota; Viridiplantae; Streptophyta; Magnoliopsida; Arecales; Arecaceae.